GAUGAACGCUGGCGGCGUGCCUAAUACAUGCAAGUCGAGCGAACAGAUGAUGAGCUUGCUCCUCUGACGGUAGCGGCGGACGGGUGAGUAACACGUGGAUAACCUACCUAUAAGACUGGGAUAACUUCGGGAAACCGGAGCCAAUACCGGCUAAUAUAUUGAACCGCAUGGUUCAAUAGUGAAAGACGGUUUUGCUGUCACUUAUAGAUGGAGCCGCGUCGCAUUAGCUAGUUGGUAAGGUAACGGCUUACCAAGGCAACGAUGCGUAGCUGACCUGAGAGGGUGAUCGGCCACACUGGAACUGAGACACGGUCCAGACUCCUACGGGAGGCAGCAGUAGGGAAUCUUGCGCAAUGGGCGAAAGCCUGACGGAGCCACGCCGCGUGAGUGAUGAAGGUCUUCGGAUCGUAAAACUCUUUUAUUAGGGAAGAACAAAUGUGUAAGUAACUAUGCACGUCUUGACGGUACCUAAUCAGAAAGCAACGGCUAACUACGUG
Molecule: ribosomal RNA, 497 nt
Filed under: uncultured bacterium
Lineage: Bacteria
Description: partial 16S ribosomal RNA
Rfam family: Bacterial small subunit ribosomal RNA
Source: RNAcentral